CAUGUAGGCGGCUUAAUAAGUCGAGCGUGAAAAUGCGGGGCUCAACCCCGUAUGGCGCUGGAAACUGUUAGGCUUGAGUGCAGGAGAGGAAAGGGGAAUUCCCAGUGUAGCAGUGAAAUGCGUAGAUAUUGGGAGGAACACCAGUGGCGAAGGCGCCUUUCUGGACUGUGUCUGACGCUGAGAUGCGAAAGCCAGGGUAGCGAACG
This 206-nucleotide ribosomal RNA is filed under the name uncultured bacterium. Its description in RNAcentral is "partial 16S ribosomal RNA". It matches the Rfam family "Bacterial small subunit ribosomal RNA", at positions 568 to 774 of the family's 1533-position model. The record is from RNAcentral.